This 441-nucleotide ribosomal RNA is filed under the name uncultured bacterium. RNAcentral's name for it is "partial 16S ribosomal RNA". It matches the Rfam family "Bacterial small subunit ribosomal RNA", at positions 338 to 795 of the family's 1533-position model. The record is from RNAcentral.
CCUACGGGUGGCAGCAGUGGGGAAUAUUGCACAAUGGGGGGAACCCUGAUGCAGCGACGCCGCGUGGGUGAAGGAGUAUUUCGGUAUGUAAAGCCCUAUCAGCAGGGAAGAACAAUGACGGUACCUGACUAAGAAGCACCGGCUAAAUACGUGCCAGCAGCCGCGGUAAUACGUAUGGGGCAAGCGUUAUCCGGAUUUACUGGGUGUAAAGGGAGCGUAGACGGCGGGGCAAGUCUGGAGUGAAAGGCCGGGGCCCAACCCCGGGACCGCUCUGGAAACUGCCCGGCUGGAGUGCGGGAGAGGUAAGCGGAAGUCCUAGUGUAGCGGUGAAAUGCGUAGAUAUUAGGAGGAACACCAGCGGCGAAGGCGGCUUACUGGACCGUGACUGACGUUGAGGCUCGAAAGCGUGGGGAGCAAACAGGAUUAGAUACCCUAGUAGUC